Non-coding RNA from Varanus komodoensis (Komodo dragon), 277 nucleotides. NCBI's taxonomy places the organism in Eukaryota, Metazoa, Chordata, Lepidosauria, Squamata, Varanidae. The record is from Ensembl.
GGUCAGUGAUGAGAAGAGAAAAGUCUGAUUGCACUAGUGAAUUGCACACUCAUUACUUUCACAGCUCCCAGCAGUUUCUUUCCUGCCACCCAUCCACGCUCCAGUAAUGCUGUGAGGUACUAUGAGGCUGCUGAUAUCAUUGUGGAUUAAGUUGGUCCACGCUCCUGUAGUAUAAGGGGUCUGGUACUGACUGUCAUCCAACAGCACCAGUGAAGGAGCUGUCAGUUCUGGGAUGUGACUUAAAAUGUGCAUGAUCUUUAGUUUUCAAGCUGAGACC